UUGCAUGAUGGAUUUUGGAUCUGUGUUGCAUCUUUCCUGUGGGAUGUCAAUAUGUCCAUAUCAUGCUAAAGUAAAAACCUAUAGGAGGCAUCAGGGCAACCAGUUGUGAAGUACAAACUGAGUUGUAGUAUAUUUCUCCUACAAUG
RNAcentral lists this small nucleolar RNA (146 nucleotides) under Pelobates cultripes (western spadefoot toad). It matches the Rfam family "Small nucleolar RNA U109". The record is from RNAcentral. Lineage: Eukaryota; Metazoa; Chordata; Amphibia; Anura; Pelobatidae.